UCUGACGCGCCGCGGAUCCAAAGGCUCGCCGCGCCGUCACUCCGGUACGGUCGUCUUGUUUCCAUCGCUCCCACCGUACUCGGUCGCAAGUCGUUAGCCGAAACCAGGGGAAAAGGCCGGCGUCACGUCCGAGCCCUACGUGCAUCUCGGAGCUCUCUAUAAAUUCUCCCCCAUCCCUCCCCCUUCCGCCAUUCCAAAGCCGCUGCCCAUCGACGGCGAGCCAAUGGCGUCGUCGCCCGGCGGUGGGUGGGGCGUCUCAUCUCUUUCCAGCCCCGCACUCCUCAUCAGGUACUCACCGCUGCCCGCAUUCGCUUUCUUUCCUCUUUCCUCCUCUUUCUCAUUGAUCGUUUCGCUUCUUACCCCAAUGCCUUUUCUUUCGAUUCUUGGAAUGAGAGGU
Molecule: long non-coding RNA, 397 nt
Filed under: Phoenix dactylifera (date palm)
Lineage: Eukaryota; Viridiplantae; Streptophyta; Magnoliopsida; Arecales; Arecaceae
Description: long non-coding RNA (PDAC_LNC016608)
Source: RNAcentral